ACUGCGCGAGCAGAUGCUAAUCUCAAAAAGCCGAUCGUAGUCCGGAUCGCAGUCUGCAACUCGACUGCGUGAAGUCGGAAUCGCUAGUAAUCGCGGAUCAGAAUGCCGCGGUGAAUACGUUCCCGGGCCUUGUACACACCGCCCGUCACACCAUGGGAGUUUGUUGCACCAGAAGUAGGUAGUCUAACCUUAGGGAGGACGCUUACCACGGUGUGGCCGAUGACUGGGGUGAAGUCGUAACAAGGUAGCCGUAGGGGAACCUGCGGCUGGAUCACCUCCUUA
Molecule: ribosomal RNA, 282 nt
Filed under: Escherichia coli
Lineage: Bacteria; Pseudomonadati; Pseudomonadota; Gammaproteobacteria; Enterobacterales; Enterobacteriaceae
Description: partial 16S ribosomal RNA
Rfam family: Bacterial small subunit ribosomal RNA
Source: RNAcentral